This 1662-nucleotide long non-coding RNA is filed under the name Neodiprion pinetum (white pine sawfly). Its description in RNAcentral is "uncharacterized LOC124223983". Lineage: Eukaryota; Metazoa; Arthropoda; Insecta; Hymenoptera; Diprionidae. The record is from RNAcentral.
GGUCUCUGAGCCUCGCUAUCCGCUCGCACCGUAACGACAUCAUAACGACACUUUUCGUUACUAAUAACGACAAAACUCGCUAAGAAUAGUGUACAGAAUCGCAUUUGUCGUUAUAAUAGCGACGCGGUCGGUAGCAUAACGAAACUUGUCGUUAUGAGUCCAUAACGACAGCAUAACGAGUUACAGAAUCGCGCUACAGUAGCGCUACAGUAGCGCGAUUCUGUAACUCGUUAUGCUGUCGUUAUGGACUCAUAACGACAAGUUUCGUUAUGCUACCGACCGCGUCGCUAUUAUAACGACAAAUGCGAUUCUGUACACUAUUCUUAGCGAGUUUUGUCGUUAUUAGUAACGAAAAGUGUCGUUAUGAUGUCGUUACGGUGCGAGCGGAUAGCGAGGCUCAGAGACCCCCUCGGUACGCUAUAACGACGAUUAUAACGACACUUUGCACACGAGCUAGAGGAGUGGUGUGCGUUUCCCAUAUUUUUCUCGACUCCGAGAAAGUGCUUCGAAAAGUGCUCCGAAAGUGAAAAAUAAUUACGACGUUUGAAAUAACAAGAUCAUGGCUAUCGAAUACCUUGCUUGGGAUGUAUUCGUUCUUGAGGAAAGAUUACGUCGACUCGAACGUCGUGUGGAAAGAAGGCGACUGAGAGAUGCUCAGAAUCCUUUUCAGUUACCACGAGAAGAGUUUCUCAGCCUUUUUCACCUGCCUCAAGAAGCUGUGAUGAAUCUUGGUUAACACCUUAAGCGCAGUCAAAGCGAAAAUAUUUUUCACUGUUCAGCAAAGCAGCAUAGGUGAUGCUGGAUAUCCGUUGGAGCCUUGGCUGUUAACACCUCUGGCCAAUUUUCCUGAAGAUACGCGACAACAUCAAUAUACACAACAACUAUGUAAGGCUAGAAGCGUCGUCGAGCGGUUUUUUGGAGUUUUUAAAUCUGUAUGGAGAUGCUUGUCAUACCAGCGAGUCUUGAUGUACGAACCAGCGUUCGCAGCGAAAAUUGAUAAUGCGUGUGCAGUACUGCACAACAUGAGAGUGCAACUACGAUUAAACAAUGAAGAUGACGAACAACUAGCACCGAUAGCUCAUCCUGUAGAGAAUGAUGUUGAUCUGAUGGAUCAAGAUGAAGAAUACCACAGACGAGGACCACGCGCUUUGGCUCAACGAAUUCAACAACAAAUUAUGAGAGAAAGAUUUACCAACUUCCGUGAUGCGGAAGAAUAGAAUACAGAAUAUGGAAUGAUGUUUAUGGUUAAAUUGCCAACAAGUAUAAUGUUUAAAGGUGAUGAGAGAAAUUAACGACAACAGAGUCAGGGCGGUGUUACGCUCCGACGUACCGCCUUGGCGUACCUUUUUCAAAAUUCCAUGUCAUUUCAUUUCUUUAAUAUCUUCAAUGCACAGAUAUUAUUUCAUCAAAAUCUCAUAGGCUCAUAGGAGUAAGGCUGCGGUCAAGCAUCUCUAUACGCCAGGUUCGAUUCCUGGCUCCGUCGUUAAUUUUUCAAAAUCACCAAUUUUUCAAAUUUACAUUCCUUCAACUAUAAUGUUUACAAUUGAUUGUACAUAAAGAAAUAUUCAAUUGUGUUUUUAAAGUAUAACUUUAUUUUAUAAAAAAUAUUCACCUUUUUUAACCUGAACAAAAAAUAAAAACGCGAAAAAUCUUUAUUCUAAA